AUACGUAGGUGGCGAGCGUUGUCCGGAAUUACUGGGCGUAAAGGGCGUGUAGGUGGCCUUUUAAGUCAGGCGUGAAAACCCACGGCUUAACCGUGGGCCUGCGCUUGAAACUGGGGGGCUUGAGGGCAGGAGAGGAAAGCGGAAUUCCCAGUGUAGCGGUGAAAUGCGUAGAUAUUGGGAGGAACACCAGUGGCGAAGGCGGCUUUCUGGACUGACCCUGACACUGAGGCGCGAAAGCCAGGGGAGCGAACGGGAUUAGAUACCCCGGUAGUCCUGGCCGUAAACGAUGGGUACUAGGUGUGGGAGGUAUCGACCCCUUCCGUGCCGCAGUUAACACAAUAAGUACCCCGCCUGGGGAGUACGGCCGCAAGGUUGAA
RNAcentral lists this ribosomal RNA (377 nucleotides) under uncultured bacterium. RNAcentral describes it as "bacterial SSU rRNA". It matches the Rfam family "Bacterial small subunit ribosomal RNA", at positions 523 to 898 of the family's 1533-position model. The record is from RNAcentral.